RNAcentral lists this ribosomal RNA (253 nucleotides) under uncultured bacterium. RNAcentral describes it as "partial 16S ribosomal RNA". It matches the Rfam family "Bacterial small subunit ribosomal RNA", at positions 524 to 776 of the family's 1533-position model. The record is from RNAcentral.
UACAGAGGCCUCGAGCGUUGUUCGGAAUUACUGGGCGUAAAGGGCAUGUAGGCGGUAACGUAAGUCAGAUGUGAAAGCCCUGGGCUUAACCCGGGAAGUGCAUUUGAUACUGCGUUGCUAGAGUGCGAGAGAGGAAAGUGGAAUUCCCAGUGUAGGGGUGAAAUCCGUAGAUAUCGGGAAGAACACCCGUGGCGAAGGCGGCUCUCUGGGACGGUACUGACGCUGAGACGCGAAAGCGUGGGGAGCGAACAGG